RNAcentral lists this ribosomal RNA (216 nucleotides) under Rhizophagus clarus. RNAcentral's name for it is "partial 18S ribosomal RNA". The stretch from base 40 to 216 matches the Rfam family "Eukaryotic small subunit ribosomal RNA", at positions 686 to 864 of the family's 1831-position model. The record is from RNAcentral. Lineage: Eukaryota; Fungi; Glomeromycota; Glomeromycetes; Glomerales; Glomeraceae.
GGGUCAGUAGGCUGGUCGUGCCACCGGUACGUACUGGUCUCACUGAUUCCUCCUUCCUGAAGAACCGUAAUGCCAUUAAUUUGGUGUUGCGGGGAAACAGGACUGUUACUUUGAAAAAAUUAGAGUGUUUAAAGCAAGCUAACGCUUGAAUACAUUAGCAUGGAAUAAUGAAAUAGGACGAUCGAUCCUAUUUUGUUGGUUUCUAGGAUUGACGUA